This 255-nucleotide long non-coding RNA is filed under the name Struthio camelus australis. RNAcentral's name for it is "lncRNA (ENSSCUG00000002168.1)". Lineage: Eukaryota; Metazoa; Chordata; Aves; Struthioniformes; Struthionidae. The record is from RNAcentral.
CUGCUCAGGAAUGCUCUGUUUGAAGCAGACCCAGCUAAUCCGGUUGGACCACAUCUACCGUUGAAUUCAACUGCGCUUUCAGUUAGGGCCCAAACUAACUACUGAAAUCUCCUUUUUCUGUCACUUCUGUCUGUGACAAUUUUGGAAACCUGCCUCCACCCGAGCAAUUUGCCCAAGCCCUACCACCGAUCCGCUCUUCAGGCUCAGCGUAGCUGAAAACGAUGGUGAGUGACAAACUGUGCUCCUCUUCUCAGU